RNAcentral lists this non-coding RNA (30 nucleotides) under Mus musculus (house mouse). The record is from RNAcentral. Lineage: Eukaryota; Metazoa; Chordata; Mammalia; Rodentia; Muridae.
UCGAACCCAGAGAUUCACCUGCCUCUGCCU